CCCCGCUUUCGGCAAUCUCAGGCAGCGAUCGGAGAGUUCCGUCGCGCUUGCUCGUGUAGUUCCGUGUCGCUCUCGGAUAUUUCCGUCUUCGCUCGUAGAUUUUCGCCUCCAUCUCGGGGGUUUCGGCCGAGACCUCUCGGAGAGUUCCGGCAUCAAUCGGCUUCUUUCGCCUCACUCCCUCGGGGAUCUCCGUAGAGCUUUCGGAUGUUUCCGCCGGGCGCUGAGCCGUUCCCGCCUUUUGGGGGCGCGGGCGAGGGCGAGUUUGCGCUGAGGCGCAGUGCGAGGGCUCGUGAGGGGCUUGCCUGUGGUGGGGGAUCCCGUGAAGGGUCCCGUGAGGGGCCGACUGUAACCGGGGAUUCUGUGAGGGGACCCGUGAGGGAUCCCGUGAAGUGCCGCGCUGGGGCCAGGUCGGGGAUGCCGUGGGUCCCGUGAAGGGCUGGGCUGCAAUCGUGGAUUCUGUGAGGGGUCCCGUGAGGGACCGCGCUGGUCGCGGAUCCCGUGAAGGGCCCCUUGAGGGGCUGCACUGGGACCGGGGAUCCUGUGAAGGGUCCCUUGUGGGCUUGGGGAUCCCCUGUGAGGGCUGGGCUGGGCUCGGGAAUCCCAUGAGUAGUCCAGUGGUCCAGUGAGGAGGCGGGCCGGGGGCUGGGAGCAGGAGUCUCAUGAGGGGGCCAGGUUGAAGCUGGGGGUUCUGUGAGGGGUCUGGUCUGGUGCCAAUGCUACGAUGGUUCCAGGUUGGGGCCGAGCUCUCCUCGUUGCUGUUGCAAGGCAGAGCCUGGCGCCUGGUGCUGGAGAUCCAGAGUCGUCAGUGGUAACACAGAUAGAGAGGCCUGAAGUGCUCGUUGUCUGCGAUGCUCUCGACAGGGACCAAUUCUUUGCAUGGAUCCAUUUGAUUUACAAGGAAUUUGGUGAGUUUUUUAAACAUUCUGCUGUGGCUGAGGUUUUGAAACAAAGCCAAGUGGAUUUGUGCUUUGGGAAAGAGGGAAAACAACCUAAGCCAAAUUACUUGACAUAAUACCAGGACACUGUAACAAAGUGUGACUUUAAUGAUUAAGAAGAUUUCCAAAUAAUGACCCAAAAUCCCCUUCAUGGUCCAGGGCCACAAGUUUCACAGGGUUGUUACAGGGAGAGUUUUAAGAGGAAGCAGCAGGAGCUGUGGGUUGUUUGUCCUCGUUCGCCUUUGCUGGUGAACCUCAGUGAUAGUGCAGUUGGCAAAGAUUUCAGGCCCUCAGGGUGCUGAUUUUGAGGACAAAUGUCUGCCAAAAUAGAGAGAAAUCAGCCCAGCCUUGUUGGGCAGACCCUGGUGAUGUGCAGGGGAGAGGCUGGUGUUUGAGGGCCAGAAAAAAAUCCCUUUUUGUUUUCUGAGACAGCUUGCUUUUAUCAAAAAGUUUCAGUUUCGCUUUUCUGGUGUUUUACGGGAUGGAACUGGGGAGGGAAAUUGGGCAAUCAAGACUGGUUUUGGUGGGAAGGGGGUUAAGGCUGAUCCCAUUCCCCCCCCUGCCCUGGUCAGGUACACCUUCCAGUCUGCCAGGCUGCUCCAAGCCCUGCCCAGCCUGGCUAUAGACUCUUCCAUGGAUAGGGCAGCCACAGCUUCUCUGGGCAACCUGUUCUGGGGCCUCAGCACCCUCAGACAGAGGAAUUUCUUCCCAUUAUCCCAUCUAACCCUGUCCUCUUUGCCAAAUUCCAAAGACAAAUAGCCUUGCUUAGCCCAUGCAGGACUCAUUCCCUUGAAGGUUUCCAAGAAGAGAAGAAAAACUGAUGAAGAGCACUUAACAGAGAGCUCCCACCAAUCCUCUCCCCUAUCCAAAGCUCUGGGAUAGUGCACUUGCCUGUCUGUGGGUGAUGAGUGUGCAGAGCAGUGGGGCUGCUGUGGUGAUGUGGCCUCUGGAGAGCAGCAGGACUGGGGAGAAUUUCUCUGGCUUCCCUUGUGCUCAGAGGUGUGGAAGUGUUUGCGAAGUACAGGAGCUGUGAGCCGCACAGGAAGCUCGCGCCACCAGAAAGUCACAGCAAACAGUAAAUUAAUUUCUCUUACCUUGCUACACGGGAGGUUCACUGAAGAAACACCUGGACAGGAGACCUGGAAGACCUCUGACUGUUUGUAAGUGCUUCUCAGAAGUUGUUCCCAGCUGUGAGGUCACUUCAGCAAUGGUACAUCCUCAGUGUUCUGCUUCCACAAAUCGGCCGUUGCUUGCGUAACACUUCCUUUUUUACUCAUUGAGCAGAGUCUGUUACAGGGACUGUGAAUAACUGGAACUUCUACAGAUGUAGGAGAUGUGAGCCCAUCCCUGGAAGUGUCCUAGACCAGACUGGACAGCAGAUGGAGAAAUGGACUCAGGAGGGGAUAUUGGGAAGAAAUUCCUCUCUGUGAGGCUGGACAAGCCCUGGCACAGGUGCCCAGAGCACCAGCUGUGCUGGCACAGG
Parus major (Great Tit) is the source of this 2418-nucleotide long non-coding RNA. RefSeq lists it as uncharacterized. The record is from RefSeq and is a predicted model, not a curated record. The transcript is spliced from 3 exons. NCBI's taxonomy places the organism in Eukaryota, Metazoa, Chordata, Aves, Passeriformes, Paridae.